Molecule: ribosomal RNA, 346 nt
Filed under: Hemicordulia tau
Lineage: Eukaryota; Metazoa; Arthropoda; Insecta; Odonata; Corduliidae
Description: partial 16S ribosomal RNA
Source: RNAcentral
AAGGGGGGGGGUAUAGUGAGGGUGGAAAGGUAGGAUAAUGAUUAGUGUUUUAAAAGAGGGGUGGAAUGAAAGGUUUGAGGAAGUAUUGAGUGUGUGAUGUUAUUUGAAAUUAAAAGUUAAGUUUUUAGUGAAAAGGGUUAAAUUUUAUUGGUAGAGGAGAAGAGGGUAUAGAGGUUUAUAUUAUUUAUUUUGAUUAUUUAUAUAUAAUUUUUAAUUAAAAUAUAUAUUAUUUUGUUGGGGUGAGAAGAAAAUAAAAUUAAGUUUUUUAUUUAUUUAAGAUUAAUAUAUGAUUAUUUGAUGGAUUAUUAUUGAUUAUUAGAUUAAGUUAGGUUAGGGAGAGGGUAAA